AGGCCUAUGGUGUAAUGGUAGCACUAGAGUCUCCAAAACUCUCAGUCUGGGUUCAAAUCCUAGUAGGCCUG
Molecule: transfer RNA, 71 nt
Filed under: Candidatus Curtissbacteria bacterium
Lineage: Bacteria; Candidatus Curtissiibacteriota
Description: tRNA-Trp
Rfam family: tRNA
About the family: Transfer RNA (tRNA) molecules are approximately 80 nucleotides in length.
Source: RNAcentral